RNAcentral lists this ribosomal RNA (497 nucleotides) under uncultured bacterium. RNAcentral's name for it is "partial 16S ribosomal RNA". It matches the Rfam family "Bacterial small subunit ribosomal RNA", at positions 28 to 507 of the family's 1533-position model. The record is from RNAcentral.
GACGAACGCUGGCGGCGUGCCUAAUACAUGCAAGUUGAGCGCUGAAGGUUGGUACUUGUACCGACUGGAUGAGCAGCGAACGGGUGAGUAACGCGUGGGGAAUCUGCCUUUGAGCGGGGGACAACAUUUGGAAACGAAUGCUAAUACCGCAUAAAAACUUUAAACACAAGUUUUAAGUUUGAAAGAUGCAAUUGCAUCACUCAAAGAUGAUCCCGCGUUGUAUUAGCUAGUUGGUGAGGUAAAGGCUCACCAAGGCGAUGAUACAUAGCCGACCUGAGAGGGUGAUCGGCCACAUUGGGACUGAGACACGGCCCAAACGCCUACGGGAGGCAGCAGUAGGGAAUCUUCGGCAAUGGACGAAAGUCUGACCGAGCAACGCCGCGUGAGUGAAGAAGGGUGUCGGGUCGUAAAACUCGGUUGGUAGAGAAGAACGUUGGUGAGAGUGGAAAGAUCAUCAAGUGACGGUAACUACCCAGAAAGGGACGGCUAACUACGUG